Molecule: unclassified non-coding RNA, 376 nt
Filed under: soil metagenome
Description: partial contains 5.8S ribosomal RNA, internal transcribed spacer 2, and large subunit ribosomal RNA
Rfam family: 5.8S ribosomal RNA (bases 1-119)
Source: RNAcentral
GAUGAAGACGCAGCGAAAUGCGAUAAGUAAUGUGAAUUGCAGAAUUCAGUGAAUCAUCGAAUCUUUGAACGCACCUUGCACCCUUUGGCAUUCCGAAGGGUAUGCUCGUUUGAGUGUCAUUGUACUCUCACACUUCCGAUCUUUGGAUUGGGAGCGGUGGACUUGGGUGUUGCUGCUUACUGUGGCUCACCUCAAAUCGAUUCGUGCACCUCUUGGUUGGACAUAGUACGGCGUGAUAAGUGUCUUCGCCGGCACCUCAGUAGAGGGUGGCUGAUCGGGAGCUCUGCUUCAAACCGUCCUCGGACAACAACUGACAACUUGACCUCAAAUCGAGUAGGACUACCCGCUGAACUUAAGCAUAUCAAUAAGCGGAGGA